CUACGUAUGUCGCAAGCGUUAUCCGGAUUUAUUGGGCGUAAAGCGCGUCUAGGCGGCUUAGUAAGUCUGAUGUGAAAAUGCGGGGCUCAACCCCGUAUUGCGUUGGAAACUGCUAAACUAGAGCACUGGAGAGGUAGGCGGAACUACAAGUGUAGAGGUGAAAUUCGUAGAUAUUUGUAGGAAUGCCGAUGGGGAAGCCAGCCUACUGGACAGAUACUGACGCUAAAGCGCGAAAGCGUGGGUAGCAAACAGGAUUAGAUACCCUGGUAGUCCACGCCGUAAACGAUGAUUACUAGGUGUUGGGGGUCGAACCUCAGCGCCCAAGCUAACGCGAUAAGUAAUCCGCCUGGGGAGUACGUACGCAAGUAUGAAACUCAAAGGAAUUGACGGGG
Molecule: ribosomal RNA, 392 nt
Filed under: uncultured bacterium
Lineage: Bacteria
Description: partial 16S ribosomal RNA
Rfam family: Bacterial small subunit ribosomal RNA
Source: RNAcentral